This 218-nucleotide long non-coding RNA is filed under the name Elaeis guineensis (African oil palm). RNAcentral's name for it is "long non-coding RNA (EGUI_LNC068086)". The record is from RNAcentral. Lineage: Eukaryota; Viridiplantae; Streptophyta; Magnoliopsida; Arecales; Arecaceae.
CAGAAUGACACUAGAAAGACACUCUUCAGAUAUCACAUAAUCUAAGAUUUAAUUUUUUGCUCCAACAUAUGGAAAAAUGAAACCCUAGGGUACUCUAGCAACACUUGCUAAAAAUCUCACCACCCUUCUUACCACUUUUGCCACUCAAAUUUCCUUCUUUUUUUCCUCAAAUUUUUUCCAAAAUUUUUUUAUAUUUACCACAUCCAUUCUCUCUAAUU